UCUCUUUUUUAUCAGUGCUCUGAAAUUUUGAAAUUGAACUUCUCCGCUGAAAUUGAAAGGUCCCCAACUUAAUUACUAAGCUUUAUUACUUCGGUUGGGAAUUCAUAAAAUCGGAACUCAAAGUUUUAAGCUCCAGUUCACUUCAAAACUAACAUGGCAGUGGCGCCCGGAUCUUCUUGGGAUUUGAAGAAUUCUGACCCUAAAGCUGCGAUCACAACGGUGUCCGCUGGCGUUCACUACCCCCAUCCAUGUCGGUGACAGUUCUCUCACCCUACUUCAACCCUCCCAGAUUCCAAAUCUUUUAUAAAAUCUUGGGCAGCUACAGAUUUUAUUUUUGGAAGUUCUGAUCGCGCAAGCAAGUCAUGGGGCACCAAUGGCUACGGCCAAUCGGUGUCCACUAGCGGCAGUGUUGGCUCUCCUACAACCGGGAGUGAGGCGAUUCACAACACUCCCCCACUGAUAAGACUUCUAUUAGGCUUAAUCAUAUAGAUGCUCAUGCUGAUAAUGUUGCAUCUCAAGCUACUGACAUGUGAGUGCUUAAUUUGUUGUAUUUUUGAGUGUUUUGCUUUUGCAAUUGAGACCGGAUUAUACGGUGAUUUGAUUUUUUUCAUUAGAAUUUGGAGCAAUUUUGUCAUCAUUGGAUGGUAAUUGUUGAAUUUGGAAAAGUGGGUGAUUUUUCUUUUGGGUUUUUAGACUAAUUACUAGCGUUUGAGCAUAAAUUUUGCUGAUUGUGUGUAUUAAGCUUUUUACUAUAUUCUGAGCUGUGUUGUGAGGAGACAGUGCAUUGGACUCCGCCAAUCGAGCAUGAAAGGUUUGUGCAUUUGUCAUUCUAUGUUGCGAUAGUAAUUUUCUACAUAUGUUGUUUGAUAUAUAGUUGAUGUUUAACCAAGAGCGCUUGUACUGAUCAAUGGGUGCAUUAUUUUGUAUUGUCGAUAGUUUAUGAGAAAGUGCAAAGCAAGGGAAGAACUACUUAUAACGAGGUUAAAGAGGAAAAAGUGUGAUAAAAAACAUAAUCUUUUGGAGUGGCUCCUAACAGCUACACGUCUCCUUCACAGGUGAAGAUGGCUGAAGAGACUGUUGAGAGAGUUGUUGAGAGAGUUACUGGUUUAAACCCGAUGUUCCAAGCUAUGCUAUCUGAGAUAUCCACAAUAGGCAUGCCAUCAUAUUCCCGGAGCCCGUCUGACACAUUAGCUGAUACUAUUCAGGAUGUUCUAAAACAACACUUCUAUUAGCCUACUCCUAUGAGUCACUUGCCUGCUCAAGAUCAGAGAGCCCAGAAUGGUUUCCUACUGGUU
Long non-coding RNA from Daucus carota subsp. sativus, 1295 nucleotides. RefSeq lists it as uncharacterized. The transcript is spliced from 3 exons. Lineage: Eukaryota; Viridiplantae; Streptophyta; Magnoliopsida; Apiales; Apiaceae. The record is from RefSeq and is a predicted model, not a curated record.